GGGGACAAGGAAGUUCAUGGGGACACUGUAAACACACAUGAAAACAUGAGGUAAGAUGAAAGAACCACAGAUCAUAAUACUGGGAAACGAAGGGUGCUAGGGUCAGGAAGGGCCAGGGGUCAGGAAGGGCCAGGGAGGUAUGGAGAGCAGGGGAUCCACUAAGAAGAAAUCGGAUUGGGACACAAAGCAGUGGAGGGUGGCUUAGCUUUGCCCUCUCACAUGUACUGGACACAGCUGAGCUCAGCUCUUUGCAUGCUGGGAAAGGUAGAAGCAAUACUCACUGGGGCAAAGACAAAACCAGGCCGAGGGUCCAGAGGUGACUUCUCCUUUCCCUGAAAUCAAAGGAAAU
Molecule: long non-coding RNA, 349 nt
Organism: Pipistrellus kuhlii (Kuhl's pipistrelle)
Lineage: Eukaryota; Metazoa; Chordata; Mammalia; Chiroptera; Vespertilionidae
Exons: 2
Source: RefSeq, a predicted model, not a curated record